Cyprinus carpio carpio is the source of this 2199-nucleotide long non-coding RNA. Lineage: Eukaryota; Metazoa; Chordata; Actinopteri; Cypriniformes; Cyprinidae. The record is from Ensembl.
AGCAGGUUCCACGGAACAGCUGGCUCAUGAGUAGAGUCACGGCAACUUUCCCUGGGAAGGACAAUCGAGUAAGGAAGGUCGAGGUCACAGUAAAUGACCAAAGCACUCGAAAGACCUUUUUGCGACCAGUUACUGAAGUCAUUCUUCUUUUGCCAAAGGACUGAUUCCUGCUAAGUUUUGUUGUUGAUAGUGACCUCACAGAGGUCAGGCGGGGAAUGUGUUGCCCUUAAGGCAGUUAAUAAUUUAAUAAAUAUGUUAAAUGGUUUAAAAUGUUUAAAUUAAGCAUUUCUAAGAGUUUCUUAUAAGUAUUUCAUGUGUAUUUGUAAGUUUUAUUUAAAAAAUAUUAGCGGACAUUUUGAUUCCGCUCGGCCGCGUUAACUUCCGGUUCGGCCGCGAUAACUUCCGGUUUCGGUUUCAUGGUAAUCAGAGCAGGCGAAAUCCAGCAUGGUACGGUCAGCAAUCUGUCGCCAUUCUCACUAAAGCACUGUCAAGGCAAUGCCUUUUCACCAUCUGGAGAAGAAAUUAAAAUGCAAAAACGUCCUUUGUGGUCCUGGUCUUCUUCAGUGGUUUAUCUACGUGUUCAUUUGGCAACAUAACAGAUCCUGUUCCCACUAAAUUACUGAAAGACAGGGGCGGACUGGCCAUCGGGAGCACCGGGACAUUUCCCGGUGGCCUGAUGGUCAUUCUGGCCUGCCGGCUGCCGCUGUGCAGUCGAUCAGGCUGACGUGCAAUAGGCUGGUUACGGUAUGCAACUGCGAAUUAAUUUACGGACUUAUGAAUCUACAAAUCAUGCGAUCGCGGAGUGAAAAUGACCCAACAUCACCGAAGCAGUGCCUAAUUGGCUAUAUCCAGAGGCAGGCUUCAUCUUAGAAAACCGUGCAAAAAAAUGGAGCAUAAAAGCAAAUCAGGAGCAGAGAGGAAACGUAUAAAAAGGAGAAAAGCCCUGGCAACAGAUGCAGCAAGUUGAUGCAAAAUCCCAGCCAUGUUCGCCAGUAAGGCAGCAGGUCUGUCAGAAUUACAUUUACAUUAUGUUUACUAGGGGUGGGACGGUUCACUGAAAAAAAAUCGAACUGUUCGGUUCUCCACACACGGUUCGGAACGCGCUGGGACCGCGGUUCAACUUAAAUCUGAGAAAGCAUCUGUUUACUAUAAAUAACACGUAAAACAAACAGGGUUCAGUUAAUAUAUGUUUCUGUUGAUGGAUGUACAUUCUGGCUUCACAGACAUUACAACAACAGAGAUGAGAAAAAAUAAAUAAAUAAAUAAAUAAAAAAUCGUGGACAAACCAUUCACUCUUGUUCAAUACGAAUACGAACACUGGAUCAGUGCAUUCUUUUAAAGUGACAGUCUUUAUAUUAAUCGAACAGCAACAACAAAGAAAUCACUCACUGCUCUUGAUUGAAAAGCUUUUGUAACUUUAAUAAAGAAUAAUCUUUAAUUUAUACAGUCCAAAAUGCAAUGCUGUUUUACAUUUGAUUACUUUAUUAAAUUUCUGUAUAAAAACUAAUGCUAUACCUACCUGAAAGUCAGUUUAUUUUAUUUGUAUCUUUACUCUAUUGUAUUUAUUUGUGCUGUUGCUUGUAGCUAGAAUAUUCUAAAUAAUAUGAUAAAAUAUACAGUAUAUUUUUUGAAAGUAUAGUUUUUCCAUAAACAUAGCACAUAAAACGGUACCGAAACAGUGACUCUAAAACCGUGAAACAAACCGAACCGUGAAAAAGUUGAACUGUUCCACCCCUUAUAUUUACGUAAUCAUUUGGCAGACGGACGCUUUCUUCCAAAGCGACUUACAAUUGAUAAAAACUAUUCUAAAAAAAAUAUUACAAAUAUAUAUGAUAGAAGUUUUAAAAGAGCAUCUUAAUGACAAACUAGCACACUGUUUUACAUAUGGGGAUACAGUAUUUUUUUAGUGCCAAAUUUGACCAGAAAUGAAGAAAUUCAUGACAAAUGACUUGCUUCUUGCUUCAGACCAAGGCUGCAUCUCAUUGCUAGUUUUACUUGAUCUUAGUGCUGCAUUCGACACCAUAGAUCAUGACAUACUCAUAGAUUGAUUACAAAACUAUACAGGUAUUCAAGGGCAGGCUUUAAGAUGGCUUAGAUCCUACCUGUCCAAUCGCUAUCACUUUAUUUAUUUAAACGGUGAGUCAUCUCAAUCAUCACCAGUAAAGUAUGGGGUGCCACAAGGAUCUGUCCUAGGUCCUC